This is a long non-coding RNA of Camellia sinensis, 2186 nucleotides long. RefSeq lists it as uncharacterized. The record is from RefSeq and is a predicted model, not a curated record. Lineage: Eukaryota; Viridiplantae; Streptophyta; Magnoliopsida; Ericales; Theaceae.
AUAUAUCAUACCCGUCACGUUAGAGUGUCACAUUUAAAAAAAGUUACACUAAAGAGUUUUUAAGUUUUUUAAAAUGUUACAUCAUAUCCGUCACGUUGGAGAAUCACAUGUCACAUUUGAAAAAAGUAUACUAAGAAAUUUUUUAUAACAACCCCAAUCCGUAAUUAACUACUAAUUCGUAAUUAAGAAUGCUAAUUAAGUGUUUAGAAUGAAAUUAUUUGUUAUUAUUAAUUGUGACAUGUGCUUUGCGGUAAUUUGUGCAUAUCUAUCUGAUUUGAAAAUAUUUUUAUCAUGAUUUCUACUUUGAAUCUGAAAUUGUUAGCCUAAAUGCUUUCAGAAACUGAAUUUGAGUACAUGGAUUGACUAACUAGAAUUUUUGGAACCAUAUGAGAAGUUUUGUUAAAAAUUGAUUCAGUUCAGUAAAAAUCGCAUGUGAAUAAAUUGGGCCUUAAUUGAAACUAUUUUGGAUUAAUUGAGUCAUGUGCUAACGCUGAUUAAUUAAGGUUACUUGUGUUUAAUUAAGAUGAUGCAUGAUUUAUGCCUAAUCUACUCCUAUUCAUGAUCCAAGAUGUGAUUAAGUGUAUAAUGUGCUAAGGCAUUUUGUAAUGUGGAGUGUAAAGGAUUAAAAUCCUUAGGUGAGUGUGUGCUGAGAAAUCUGUGUGGAUGUACUAAGAAAUUCGAGUUGUGCAUUUGGUGGUGUUAAGUGUAUAUGAUAAAUUCUUAUGGGUGUGUUGGAGUGGUGCAUGUGUGUGCACGUGUUGUAUGUUCAAAUUAUGUGUGUGUGUGUGAGAGAGAGAGAGAGAGAGAGAGUAUGUGUGUGUGUGUGUGUAUCUGCUGAAAUAUGACGGAAUGUAGGCAACAUUCCUCUUCUUCUUUCUAUUUUUUUAAGUAGAGAGUUCAUUCUAGAGAGAGAGAGACGAAGAUAGCUCAUUCUAGAGAGAGAAGCCUAUUUUUGUGCUAGAGAUUGAAGAAACUAAGAAGAUUCAUCUCACAUUUAUGAAAUUAAAGCUUUGGGUAAGAAUUCUAUGACUAAUUUCUAUUGUAAAUCCUCCAUGCAUUAUGAGUUCAUCAAGUUAUUGAGCUAAUUUCAUCUUUGAUUUUAUCAUUUUAAGUUUGAGUUUUAAAGUCCUUGCAUGCAUGUGAGUUUAAAUCAUGUCCAUUGUUUCAGAAAUUCAUGAGUUCAUUGAUUACCAUUUGCAUGUUAUGAAAAACCAUGAGGAAAGUUGAAAAAUCUUACAUGAAGGAGUUUUGGUUCAAAUUUUUUAAGAAUUGAUGAGUUUUUGAAUAAAAGAUGUUUUAAGGGUCUUGUAUUGGAGUUUUCUAAAGCUAUUUUGUGUGUUUGAUCAAAUCAUGCAAGACCCCAAGUUUUGAAGGUUGUUUGGAAGCCAUUUUUGUUAAGCUUGGUGCCUAGAAAUUCACAACUGACUCGAGCGACCAUGUGAUGGCUCGAGCCAACAUUACAAGCUCCUAGUAUGUUAAACUCUACAAAGCUGGCUCAAACGAAGAAGUGGUGGCUCGAGCGAGCUCAGUUUUUUCCUUCAGCUGGCUCUAGCCAUGAGAAGUUGGCUUUAGCCAACAGCUUAUUUUUAGCAUGUUUUCAAAAGAUGUUUUAAAUACAUAUCUUCGUUUCCAUCUCUUUCCGAGCAUUCUUAGGCAUGAUUUAUAAGUCAUUACAGAUUAAUAAGCUAAGAAACAUCAUACGUGAGUGAAUUAGAAAAUAUGUGUCGAAUCCGAGUAUAUGGUCCAAUAUGAAUAAGUUAUGUGACAUGGAAGAUAAGAAGUUAAAGUAAGAAAACUAAGGCAUGUAUGGCCAUAUGAAUGAGUGAUAAUGAGACAUGUUUUGUGCCAUUUACAUUUGUGUUUGUAGGUCAGGACUCGAAGGCUGACCAACCAUUUCUGGAAGCCCACUGGUUUUAGCUCACUGCGUGUAUAUAUAUGUAUAGGUGAGCGUUCUGGAGAUCAAGCCUGAAGACUUUUGUCUGGAUCUGUGUUCUGCUGUCAUCCAACCAUUGUGCCUCACGUGGAUGUUCCUGAUGUAUCACGUGUUAUAAACUCUUGUUGUUUCUGUAUAUAAAACUUUGUUUGUUUUUGUUGGUAGUACUUAAAAUGCUAUAGUUAAGUGUGUGGAUGUAACGUGAGAAUGAUUUUUUGGAUAUGUAUAUAAAGUCAUAUUCUGCUUCAUAUAA